Molecule: long non-coding RNA, 5612 nt
Filed under: Sus scrofa (pig)
Lineage: Eukaryota; Metazoa; Chordata; Mammalia; Artiodactyla; Suidae
Description: lncRNA (ENSSSCG00025052969.1)
Source: RNAcentral
CCUCAUUUGGAAAAAGGCAGCAAAAUCCUGACACACCUGCCUCCAAGGAGUCUUGUGAGGACAAAAUGAGGAAGGCGGGUAAAGCACUUGGCACCGAGUAAGCGCUCAAGAAAUAGCAGCAUUGCUCUCAUCUUCAAGUCCCAGUAGGAGGGCAGUUUUAUCUUGCGGCAUCCUGUUCCCUUCAUCUUUCUUCCCAGAGCUCAGGUUUCCACUGGAUAGACUCUGGGACUCCUUGUGGAUGUGGAGUGUGGGCCCCCUUUUCACACUGCAGCAUCAUUGCUUUCAAGAGUCUGGGUGCUUCAAGUCUCAGGGUCCUUUUGGCCCUCAGCACAAUCUUUCUGACAACUAACUUUGCUUUUGAAUCACCUUCCAGGGGAGCAUUUAUCCACCAAUUCUUCGUAUCCCCUCAUGGGUUGGGAAAAAAUUGGAUCAAAGCAGAAGAACAUGCAGUGUUAGAACUUGCAGGAGAAAUUUGGGCCAACUCCCUACCACCUUUCACCUGCAAGAUUUGGUUUCCUUCCCACUUGCUUUUGUUUUCAUCAGCUGUCUGUACAGAGCCAAUGGAUGAAGUGAUUUUGUGGUCCUCUUGCCCCAGUUUUGUGACAUUUAUGGGAGACUAUAAUGCAAUGACAUAUAUUUUUUCCUUUGGAAGACAAAACAGAGCAGCCCUGUGGGUUGACUUUGAGCAAUCUGGACAGCUGCCUGAUCAGGCCUGAAAUUUUUUUCAAGUAUUGCAAAUGCUGAAUCGUUCUGAGGCCUCCUGCCCUGAUCUUUGUGCCCUCUGACCUUCACUAGUUACUUCAGAUGAUUUACAUGGCUUUGGUUUCGGGGUUGAAAUCAACUCUGCUCUCCUAUAGCUGGAUUCAAAAACUAUGGAAAUCUAUCCUCCUCGGUGGAGUUAAAAGAUGGUUAAAAUUGAUAAGCACUCCACUUGCGGCUCUGUGCGCACUCCAAGAUAACCACAGCACAAUCUAAUCUUGGGAAGCCUUGGAUUCCUCCAUCCCCCUUCCUCCUCUGAGCUUGGUCGUGCCCUUAACACACUCUGAAACCUUGGGUAAAUGGCUUCCUUUCUCUGGCCAUUCAUUUCCACCAAGCUCCUUAAGAUGUUGUGAUGAAGGAUGGAUAAGAGGUGUUCGAAAAUAUUUAGAAAAGUUAGAAUUUGUAUAUCAAAGUGUAUAUACAUAUAUGCAUACCUACAUAAUGUGUAGGUAUGUAUAUAUAUAUAAAUUUGCUGCUAAGCAGAGAGUGCCAGGUAGGUAGAAGUUGUGAAGGCAGUUUCAAACUACAAGGUCACACACACAUGCAAGGCACUACGGAGAUCAUUUCUAACAGUGAAGCUAGCUUUGUGGCUGGUGGUGUUUUAUCUUGAAAGGCUAGACUGUUGUUGCACUAACUACAAUUUAUUGGAUGAGCGAGAGGAGAUAAGGCUUGAGUGGUGACUCUGAGCUGGAGCUUGCAUAGCUGGGUUAGGGGAAGGUUAAGGUUAGGUUAGGUUAAAGACAAGGCUCUUAUCAUCCUCUUUCAUAUUUCUAACCCUCAUCCUCCCUCCCCUUUGUUUUCUUUUUUAUUUGUGCUUUCUAUAGAAGUAAUACUGGCUCUUUUGGAGAAUAUCUAGAAAGUUAAUAAGAUAUUAAAGAAACAGAGAAAAAUGUGUAAUUCUAUCUCCUUGAGUCAACCCCUAAGACUGUGAUCUAUUUCUUUUCUUUUGUUGUUAUUCUUUUGAACUAGGCAUUUUAAAAACAUCACUGAGAGCCUGCUGGUUAUGACAUUUUGGUAUCCUGCUCACCCUCAUUUCUUUCUUUCUUUCCUUUUUUUUUUUUUUUUUUUUUUGGUCUUUUUGCCUUUUCUGGGCCACUCCCACAGCAUAUGGAGGGUGUGGCCCUAAAAGGACAAAAAGACAAUAAAAUAAAAUAAAAGGAGGGAGGAGCUGCAUACUUCAGAAAAAGAGAUUCUAGGGGUGGUUAGAUUUUUCUAAAAUUUUUCUGCCAUCAAAUGUCAGUAACUUCCUUGCUCAAACACAUUUAAUGGUUCCUUAUUCUUUCCAAGAUAAAAUCAAAUCCCCGGAUAUAGACAUUUAGGUCCUUCAGUGACUGCUCUUCAUUUAUGCUUCCAGAUUUAUUUCUUUCUCUUCUGUCCCUCAUAGCAGAUUAAUCCUGAUCCCUCCAUUGCGUCCCACUGACUAAGGUCUCUCAACUCUUGCUCAAGUGUUUUCAUUCAGCUGGUAGUGGCCUCCCGAGAUUCUUUUCGAGGUCACUUCCCCCUACUUACCUAACUUGACUGUAUUUACAAAAGAGCAUUCCCUUAGAUCAGAGGUUAAAAACAGGCAGAUCAUUGGCUAAUUCAGCCAGCAGGUGACAGGACUUGUUUGCCUCUCACAGGGUUUUGAGAAUUUGAGCCAACAUUUAAAAAUCAGGAGAUUUCACACAACAACUGAAUUUUUAACUUAACCCAAAUAGUGGUACUUUCGCAAUACUGUGCCCACAUUUGUGCAAAGUGGUGUCUGUGGUUGCAGAGAAGUUCCUGGCCCCUACCUAUAGGUCAUAGGCUCUCCAGUUGUCACAGUCCCUGCCACUCACUGAGAGUCCAUACCUGUCCUUCCACCUGCUCUGCUUCUCACAUUGACAUCCCCUGUCUGGACUCUAGGCAUCUCUAUAUGGAACUCCUGCAUUAAAUGAAACAAUAAUAAUUUUAAAAUAAUACAUAAUUAAGACACACUCAGGAAGUCUAAAGCACUGCAAAACAGAUGAAUGUCCUGCCUAGAACUUGGCAUUGCAGAGUUGGAGGGAAUAUCUAGGUGACGAUCUUCUGGUGAAAGCCUACAUCUCCCCAUCCUGGUUUGGUCCCAUCAGCACUUACAUGGGCAGACUGUAGGAAUGAGAUGGGGAGUGUGGGAGACAGAGAGAGAGGACUCCAGGGGAUGCCCAGAGAGGACAUGAUUUGUCCAGCCUAGAAAGAGACCUAAUGAAAUGCCAUAGGUUCCAUGGUCUGUUGUAACAUGGGAAAAGAUUGUACUUCAGUGAGAGAGGCACUGGAAAUUCAUUCAAAGUGACCAUUACACCAUGUCUUGGACAACAAGAAAUCAAGAUGAUGAUUAGAGGCUUUUAUUGGUCAAAAGAAAAAUGAAACUAGAAGGGAAGAAACUGGGCAUUUGUUUCUCCAGCCCUAUGGCAAGUGCAGAGAUGGCAGAUAAGCUUUACUACCAAUUCUAGUGCCUACACCAAUCGAUUGGUAACACCUGUCUAGAAAUUUGUGUUGAGAAAUAUUCUCAGAUUAGUGGGGUCAACAUUUGGAUAAAAUGCUAUGAUUGAUUAGUGAUGUCUGCUAUGAGCAUUGAAUUAGAAGUAGCACAAUGCAUGACACGCACUUGUGUGCCUAGGUGAGAGAGUGUAUUUGGGUGGCAGCAAAGCAUUUCAUGACCUCUAUGGAGACAGAAAAUUUUACUACAGAAUGUGAUGAUAGUUACUCUGCAUUUUCUGCAAUUCUUUCUUUUUAGUUUUUUCUUAGUAUUCCAAAGGUGUUGAUAUUUUUUCCUUUUUAAGUGAAAAAUUUCAUGAGUUUUGGCUGUAUUGAAAGGAACUAAAGAGAACUAACCCUUUUUUGACCACUCUGGGCCUGUUAAAAGGGGAAGACUACUUCUGGUGCUGGGGGCAGGGCUGUUGCAGGAGUUGGGAACCCAGAGCUAUGGUCAAGGUUGCUUGUGUUGUGAGGCUCUCCUUCCUCACUCUUGCUCAAGCCAGGAGCUUUCUGGUUGGUUGGUUGUUUUCUUUUUACAGCCGCACCUGUGGCAUAUGGAAGUUUCCAGGCUAGGGGUUGAAUUGGAGCUGCAGCUGCAGCCUACACCUUAGCCACAGCAACACCUGAUCUGAGCCAUUGCGACCUACCCUGCAGUUCAUGGGAAUGCUGUUUCCUUAACCCAUGGAGCAGGGCCAGGGAUCAAACCCGCAACCUCAUGAAUACUAGCCAGGUUGGUUACUGCUGAGCCACAACGGGAACUCCGGGAGGUUUCUUGUUUUAAUUUAAGGAAGGCUGUUUCCUUCUAAAGCCUUGUCUCCAGCCAGUGCCAGCCAAUAGCUGUCCCCCUUGUGGGAAUCUCAUGCCUUCACCUCCCUCUGCUCACCCCCACCCCAUCUGCAUAAAAAUUCAAAGCCAGAGGCUCUAGGUCUUGAUGCCUCAGACACAACUCUGGCUAGGAGGCCUGAACAGUGGGUCUCACUGGCAGGCUGGCGGUGCAUUAGCCUGUGGCUGGCCUCAGGGGCAUGAUGACCUUCAAGAGGCCUUAGGACCCAUCUUUUCAGGCAUUCUCCUGGGUGAUGUUUUCUGGUGGUCCUGUUCACAAGGUGUCUUCAGUGGAGGAGAAGGAGGAAAGGCCUAAGGGAGGGGGCUUACUGCUGAUUCUCACCAGCAUGGCUGGAGGCAGGGGUUUUAGGUAUCAGAACCAUGGGGGAAACUUUCUCUCCCUACGUAGGGAGGUUCAGAGGGGAUGGAGUGGGGACAUGGGAAAGCAGGUGUACCCUGGAAGACCCCCCAGAUCAUUCUGGUGGAUACCCUCUGGCCUCUCCCAACUGCAUUCAUUGUGUGAUUGGAGGGGCUCCCCUGGCCGCUCUGCCUCUUAUUUUCUCUCUUUCUGUCUGUUGGCGUCUAAAAUGUCUCCCCUAGAGCCAUUCCUUAGCCGCUGUAACUCCAGUAUUUACCCUUUAAGAGACCUGAGGGUCCAUGGAGCAGGUAUUCUUUUCACAUGCCCAGGAUCUGAGGUGAAUACAACACUGGUCCAGGACUGGAGAGCCCUAGAUUGGAUCUGCCUCUGCCCCCAGGUCAUUUGAGUCCUCCCUGGGGUCUCAGUUCCCUCAUCUGUGCGCUGCAAGAAUGCGAUUCAGUCAUCCUGAAUCACCUUCCUUUCUCUCUGUGCAGAAGUAAUUCUAAACCCUCCCACUCAGGGUGACAGGGGAAAUCCCCAUGCACCUUCCCCUUCUUCCCCUCCCUCUAGUUUCUAGUGCUUUCCACAGCUGAAGGUCAACGAGAAUAUCACGGGCAGCUCCUUGAAAGGGGAAAAGCUCACAGAAAAUCAGCAUGCCCCUGGAGUGUGUUGUGAACGCAAAUGUUUGGGGCAGAUGUUUGAGACUGGAGUUGGGGGCCUGAGGAGGUGAUAGAGAAAUGGCUGUGUUAGGCACUGCAGGGCCAUCCGCCCCCCCAAAGCUCAUGUCACCCCCUGUCCUAUUUGUACUCAAGGAUAAAUACUGAACAGCAAACUAGAUAUCACAAAUCCAAAGUAGUUUUGAAUUUUUAAUGCUCUUCUGGAAAUAUAAAAAUAACAAAAUUCUUUAACAACUGUCUGGGUGGUGAGGUGGUUGGAGGAUGCUGGUGCCUUGUCAAGGUCAUUAUCAUGGCCCCGGCCUCCUCCACCACGUCUGUAUACGACCCUUAACAAGUCAGGUCUCCCAGAGUUUCCAUUUGCAACACAUGGACUUUCAAAUAAAGGUUCUCUAAAAACAUGUCAUAGAGUCAACAUUUUAUUACUUUACAAAUAGGUCUGCUGCUUUGGUUUGUUUUUAAAAAUCUGCCUAUCGAGGUGUCUGCAUUAAAGCAAACGUAAGCUAAAAAAAAAAAAAAAAAAA